RNAcentral lists this ribosomal RNA (253 nucleotides) under uncultured bacterium. RNAcentral describes it as "partial 16S ribosomal RNA". It matches the Rfam family "Bacterial small subunit ribosomal RNA", at positions 524 to 776 of the family's 1533-position model. The record is from RNAcentral.
UACGGAGGGUGCAAGCGUUAUCCGGAUUCACUGGGCUUAAAGGGUGCGUAGGCGGCUUGGUAAGUCAGUGGUGAAAUCCCCGAGCUUAACUUGGGAACUGCCAUUGAUACUAUCAGUCUUGAAUACCGUGGAGGUCAGCGGAAUAUGUCAUGUAGCGGUGAAAUGCUUAGAUAUGACGUAGAACACCAAUUGCGAAGGCAGCUGGCUACGCGGAUAUUGACACUGAGGCACGAAAGCGUGGGGAUCAAACAGG